GACGAACGCUGGCGGCGUGCUUAACACAUGCAAGUCGAACGGAAAGGCCCUGCUUUUGUGGGGUGCUCGAGUGGCGAACGGGUGAGUAACACGUGAGUAACCUGCCCUUGACUUUGGGAUAACUUCAGGAAACUGGGGCUAAUACCGGAUAGGAGCUCCUGCUGCAUGGUGGGGGUUGGAAAGUUUCGGCGGUUGGGGAUGGACUCGCGGCGUAUCAGCUUGUUGGUGGGGUAGUGGCUUACCAAGGCUUUGACGGGUAGCCGGCCUGAGAGGGUGACCGGCCACAUUGGGAUUGAGAUACGGCCCAGACUCCUACGGGAGGCAGCAGUGGGGAAUAUUGCACAAUGGGCGGAAGCCUGAUGCAGCAACGCCGCGUGCGGGAUGACGGCCUUCGGGUUGUAAACCGCUUUCGCCUGUGACGAAGCGUGAGUGACGGUAAUGGGUAAAGAAGCACCGGCUAACUACGUG
RNAcentral lists this ribosomal RNA (468 nucleotides) under uncultured bacterium. RNAcentral describes it as "partial 16S ribosomal RNA". It matches the Rfam family "Bacterial small subunit ribosomal RNA", at positions 28 to 507 of the family's 1533-position model. The record is from RNAcentral.